This 468-nucleotide ribosomal RNA is filed under the name uncultured bacterium. Its description in RNAcentral is "partial 16S ribosomal RNA". It matches the Rfam family "Bacterial small subunit ribosomal RNA", at positions 28 to 507 of the family's 1533-position model. The record is from RNAcentral.
GACGAACGCUGGCGGCGUGCUUAACACAUGCAAGUCGAACGGAAAGGCCCUGCUUUUGUGGGGUGCUCGAGUGGCGAACGGGUGAGUAACACGUGAGUAACCUGCCCUUGACUUUGGGAUAACAUCAGGAAACUGGGGCUAAUACCGGAUAGGAGCUCCUGCUGCAUGGUGGGGGUUGGAAAGUUUCGGCGGUUGGGGAUGGACUCGCGGCUUAUCAGCUUGUUGGUGGGGUAGUGGCUUACCAAGGCUUUGACGGGUAGCCGGCCUGAGAGGGUGACCGGCCACAUUGGGACUGAGAUACGGCCCAGACUCCUACGGGAGGCAGCAGUGGGGAAUAUUGCACAAUGGGCGGAAGCCUGAUGCAGCAACGCCGCGUGCGGGAUGACGGCCUUCGGGCUGUAAACCGCUUUCGCCUGUGACGAAGCGUGAGUGACGGUAAUGGGUAAAGAAGCACCGGCUAACUACGUG